This 425-nucleotide ribosomal RNA is filed under the name uncultured bacterium. RNAcentral's name for it is "partial 16S ribosomal RNA". It matches the Rfam family "Bacterial small subunit ribosomal RNA", at positions 354 to 796 of the family's 1533-position model. The record is from RNAcentral.
GUGGGGAAUAUUGGACAAUGGGCGCAAGCCUGAUCCAGCCAUGCCGCGUGAGUGAUGAAGGCCUUAGGGUUGUAAAGCUCUUUCACCGGUGAAGAUAAUGACGGUAACCGGAGAAGAAGCCCCGGCUAACUUCGUGCCAGCAGCCGCGGUAAUACGAAGGGGGCUAGCGUUGUUCGGAAUUACUGGGCGUAAAGCGCACGUAGGCUGAUAUUUAAGUCAGGGGUGAAAUCCCGGGGCUCAACCCCGGAACUGCCUUUGAUACUGGGUAUCUUGAGUAUGGAAGAGGUCAGUGGAAUUGCGAGUGUAGAGGUGAAAUGCGUAGAUAUUCGCAGGAACACCAGUGGCGAAGGCGGCUGACUGGUCCAUUACUGACGCUGAGGUGCGAAAGCGUAGGGAGCAAACAGGAUUAGAUACCCUUGUAGUCC